RNAcentral lists this ribosomal RNA (123 nucleotides) under Periophthalmus magnuspinnatus. The record is from RNAcentral. Lineage: Eukaryota; Metazoa; Chordata; Actinopteri; Gobiiformes; Gobiidae.
UUAAGCAGCAAUAACAUCUUGAGAAUGCUCAAUUAAAGCUCGUCAGAUCUCAGAAGCAAAAAAUGUUUGGUCCUGGUUAGUACUUGGAUGGCAGACCACUAAGAAUACCAUGUGCUCCAUUGG